GACGAACGCUGGCGGCGUGCUUAACACAUGCAAGUCGAACGGAAAGGCCCUGCUUGCAGGGUACUCGAGUGUCGAACGGGUGCGUAACACUUGGGUGAUCUGCCCUUCACUUCGGGAUAAGCCUGGGAAACUGGGUCUACUACCGGUUAGGAGCCCUUUUUAGUGUGAUGGUUGGAAAGUUUUUUCGGUGUAGGAUGAGCUCGCGGCCUGUCAGCUUGUUGGUGGGGUCAUGGCCUACCAAGGCGGGGACGGGUAGCCGGCCUGAGAGGGUGGACGGCAAACUUGGGAAGGAGAAAAGGCCCAGACUGCUAAGGGAGGAAGCAGUGGGGAAUAGUCCGCAAGAGACGAAAGGCUGACGGAGCAACGCAGGGGGAGGGAUGACGGCCUUCGGGUUGUAAAGCUCUGUGAAUAGGGACGAAAGGCCUGCUGGCGAAUAGUGAGAAGGAGUAACGGUACCGGAAUAGAAAGCCGAGGAUAACAACGUG
Molecule: ribosomal RNA, 485 nt
Filed under: uncultured bacterium
Lineage: Bacteria
Description: partial 16S ribosomal RNA
Rfam family: Bacterial small subunit ribosomal RNA
Source: RNAcentral